UGGGUUUAUAGCUCAGUCGGUUAGAACAGUACUUUGACAUGGCGUAGGCAAUGUCGUUGGUUCGAAUUCGGUUGAACACAG
This 81-nucleotide transfer RNA is filed under the name Aeromonas caviae. RNAcentral's name for it is "tRNA-Val". The record is from RNAcentral. Lineage: Bacteria; Pseudomonadati; Pseudomonadota; Gammaproteobacteria; Aeromonadales; Aeromonadaceae.